Molecule: long non-coding RNA, 1750 nt
Filed under: Fragaria vesca (wild strawberry)
Lineage: Eukaryota; Viridiplantae; Streptophyta; Magnoliopsida; Rosales; Rosaceae
Description: long non-coding RNA (FVES_LNC002600)
Source: RNAcentral
AUCUCUUGGCGCAUGUGAAAUUCUCUAACUAUAUAUUAUAGUACAAUUGUCGAUCACUUUGACAGCUUUGAUGUUCAAUCCUAAGUUAGAGAGCAUACCCAAAUAGGUAAGAACAACUAGGCCACACAGAGUGGUUAAAGAGAUUUACUUAUUGGCUUGAACAAACAACCUCAUAUGAGAGACAAGAGAGUUUAACCAACUAGCUGAUUGAAUUAUCUUUCCAAAGGACAAAAAAGAGUGAGGAAUUUGAUGAGAACCGCAUCCAUUCGAAGGUACUCUCUAUUUAUUACAAUGUAUAUCAAUCGUAUAAAAUUUUACGUGAGUAUAUAUAGUUAUGUAUCAAAAUGAACAAAUUUACGUAUGAUAUAGUUUCUAGUUUCUUAACUAGUUGCAUUAACAUUUAAUCAAAUUUUAAACAAACAUAUGGAAAUUCAUCAAACUGAUGAUCAUUUAAAAAAGAAGUUAAAGGUAGGAUGAUCCAAAUUAUCCAAAACCUUGCCAUCACGCAAUUACUUGGCAAAUUCUAUGAGCUAGCUAGCUAGCUAUUCGAUCUAUUAAGCAAACUUUGCAAGCAUUUGACACUUGUCAAAAUUGUGUAAUGGCUCUAUACCUGAUCAUAGUUUAGGAGCAAACAAAGCAAGAGAUCUACUGAGCAAUUGAGGAGUACGCCAUCAGUUUUUGUUCAUCAUCUCCAUCAUUUCCAACUUUUAAUUUCCAACUUUUUCCAUCAUUCCAUUCAGAUGAAGACAUGGUCCUUCACAUCGCUGCAGGCUCAAGGUGAUGGAACAUUAACAAAGAGGGGGCUUGUAUACCAAGUUUGUUUUAAUUAACUCUAUAUGGAACGUAGUGCUCGCAACUGCGUAUGUAGUACUAGGAUUUAUAUAUGUUGGAACCAGGAAUGGAAAAAGGGGUAGGCUAAUCAUCAUUUGUGUUAUUUGUAUUGGGCGAAGGCCAAAAAAAAUUUUGGGCCCUGUUUCCGUUUUGGAUCCGGAUCCUCUCUGAGCAUUUUUCUCUCCUAACCUACCCAAGCUUUUCAUAAGAUAUUGGCAUGUGUCCGGGCUUAAUCUAAUGGCCUAUAAUGAUAGUUUUCCCUUGGAUUUUUUCCGGGAGAUAGUUUUCCACUUUUCCCUUGCUAUUCGUCUCAGUCUUCUACUCUUCUUCUUCUUCUUCUUCCAGAUUGCCUGCAUAAGUUAAUCAACAGAUCUCUAUCACUUUUUGGAUCCACUUUUUUAAUUUCCAAAUCUUUAAGAAGUAUAAUUAUGUUACGGGCUCUGGUUUAUUUGAAAUGUGGGGUGGAUAGAAUCAAUUUCAAAAGGGUUUGAAUUGGGGAUUUGUGGAUUUUCUUCUUCCAGCUGGGUCUGCUCUCUUGUUUGAUCUGUAUCUCUUAUGCUGACUUGGGAAGCUCGAACAAUAAGAUGAGAUUAAGCUACGUUUAGUCUUUGCUUGGGUUCUCUAUAGUAUCCAUCCAAUUCUACUACCUUUGUUGUCUGUGGUUCCCAGAAUUUCCACUAUUCUCAAGCUCCAUGUUGUUGAGUAGUAGAAACUAAUCUUUACCUUCAUUUCCUGGUGCUUUACCAUGUAAUAGGUCUCAGGCUUUCGAUAUGGUUCACAUCUUAUCACAGAAGAAGAAGAAGAAGAAGGAGAGAGAGAAGAGAGAGAGAUAUAUGAUUAUGAUGAUGAAUACGACAAAAAUAUAGAGGGUUUUUCUGUAAAGUCACCAAUUUUUGUUGUUGUGGAGGUAUGUAGACCA